RNAcentral lists this ribosomal RNA (496 nucleotides) under uncultured bacterium. RNAcentral's name for it is "partial 16S ribosomal RNA". It matches the Rfam family "Bacterial small subunit ribosomal RNA", at positions 28 to 506 of the family's 1533-position model. The record is from RNAcentral.
GAUGAACGCUGGCGGCGUGCCUAAUACAUGCAAGUCGAGCGAACGGACGAGAAGCUUGCUUCUCUGAUGUUAGCGGCGGACGGGUGAGUAACACGUGGAUAACCUACCUAUAAGACUGGGAUAACUUCGGGAAACCGGAGCUAAUACCGGAUAAUAUUUUGAACCGCAUGGUUCAAAAGUGAAAGACGGUCUUGCUGUCACUUAUAGAUGGAUCCGCGCUGCAUUAGCUAGUUGGUAAGGUAACGGCUUACCAAGGCAACGAUGCAUAGCCGACCUGAGAGGGUGAUCGGCCACACUGGAACUGAGACGCGGUCCAGACUCCUACGGGAGGCAGCAGUAGGGAAUCUUCCGCAAUGGGCGAAAGCCUGACGGAGCAACGCCGCGUGAGUGAUGAAGGUCUUCGGAUCGUAAAACUCUGUUAUUAGGGAAGAACAUAUGUGUAAGUAACUGUGCACAUCUUGACGGUACCUAAUCAGAAAGCCACGGCUAACUACGU